AGCUUUGCGCAGUGGCAGUAUCGUAACCAAUUAGGUUUAUCUGAGGCGUGAUUAUUGCUAAUUGAUCAUUUCAUCACAAAGAUAAGUUUUGAAACCAAGAAGUAUG
This 106-nucleotide small nuclear RNA is filed under the name Mustela putorius furo (domestic ferret). RNAcentral describes it as "U4 spliceosomal RNA". It matches the Rfam family "U4 spliceosomal RNA". Rfam says of the family: U4 small nuclear RNA (U4 snRNA) is a component of the major U2-dependent spliceosome. The structure of U4 snRNA from yeast and human has been reported. Lineage: Eukaryota; Metazoa; Chordata; Mammalia; Carnivora; Mustelidae. The record is from Rfam by way of RNAcentral.